RNAcentral lists this long non-coding RNA (249 nucleotides) under Elaeis guineensis (African oil palm). RNAcentral's name for it is "long non-coding RNA (EGUI_LNC039102)". The record is from RNAcentral. Lineage: Eukaryota; Viridiplantae; Streptophyta; Magnoliopsida; Arecales; Arecaceae.
UAUGGGUAUCCAUACGAAAUUUUGAUCUAAUCAAAAACUUUUUAAUCUCACUGGAAUGCUAGCUCCUUUGUAGAGAUUGCAUCUUAAUAGUUGAAAAAAAAAUUUUUUCUCUAAAGAUACUCUUAGAGGAGAAGAAAAAAAUAGGAGGAUGAUGAUCUCUACACUAGAGAUCAUGAGAAGAACACUUUCUUUUCUUUUCUUUUUAAAAUCCAUGCACCAAAUCUCUACACUAGAGAUGUAAGAAUUUAU